CACUUUGCUGCUGCCUGCCC
RNAcentral lists this non-coding RNA (20 nucleotides) under Rattus norvegicus (Norway rat). The record is from RNAcentral. Lineage: Eukaryota; Metazoa; Chordata; Mammalia; Rodentia; Muridae.